GACGAACGCUGGCGGCGUGCUUAACACAUGCAAGUCGAGCGGAAAGGCCUCUUUCGGGGGGUACUCGAGUGGCGAACGGGUGAGUAACACGUGAGUAACCUGCCCUUGACUUUGGGAUAACUUCAGGAAACUGGGGCUAAUACCGGAUAGGAGCUCCUGCUGCAUGGUGGGGGUUGGAAAGUUUCGGCGGUUGGGGAUGGACUCGCGGCUUAUCAGCUUGUUGGUGGGGUAGUGGCUUACCAAGGCUUUGACGGGUAGCCGGCCUGAGAGGGUGACCGGCCACAUUGGGACUGAGAUACGGCCCAGACUCCUACGGGAGGCAGCAGUGGGGAAUACUGCACAAUGGGUGGAAGCCUGAUGCAGCAACGCCGUGUGCGGGAUGACGGCCUUCGGGUUGUAAACCGCUUUCGCUCAUGACGAAGCUUUGUGUGACGGUAGUGGGUAAAGAAGCACCGGCUAACUACGUG
RNAcentral lists this ribosomal RNA (467 nucleotides) under uncultured bacterium. RNAcentral describes it as "partial 16S ribosomal RNA". It matches the Rfam family "Bacterial small subunit ribosomal RNA", at positions 28 to 507 of the family's 1533-position model. The record is from RNAcentral.